Molecule: transfer RNA, 93 nt
Filed under: Rhodocyclaceae bacterium
Lineage: Bacteria; Pseudomonadati; Pseudomonadota; Betaproteobacteria; Rhodocyclales; Rhodocyclaceae
Description: tRNA-Ser
Rfam family: tRNA
About the family: Transfer RNA (tRNA) molecules are approximately 80 nucleotides in length. Their secondary structure includes four short double-helical elements and three loops (D, anti-codon, and T loops). Further hydrogen bonds mediate the characteristic L-shaped molecular structure. tRNAs have two regions of fundamental functional importance: the anti-codon, which is responsible for specific mRNA codon recognition, and the 3' end, to which the tRNAs corresponding amino acid is attached (by aminoacyl-tRNA synthetases). tRNAs cope with the degeneracy of the genetic code in two manners: having more than one tRNA (with a specific anti-codon) for a particular amino acid; and 'wobble' base-pairing, i.e. permitting non-standard base-pairing at the 3rd anti-codon position.
Source: RNAcentral
GGAAGGGUACCGAAGCGGUCAUAACGGCGCCGACUCGAAAUCGGAUGGUUCGCGAAAGCGGGCACGUGGGUUCGAAUCCCACCCCUUCCGCCA